GUCAAAUUAGCAAAAAAUUAAUGCAGUUGAUUUAGGAUCAACAGUUAUAGGCUAAUAAUCCUUUAUUUGAUA
RNAcentral lists this transfer RNA (72 nucleotides) under Desmaulus extinctorium. Its description in RNAcentral is "tRNA-Leu". It matches the Rfam family "tRNA". From Rfam's summary of the family: Transfer RNA (tRNA) molecules are approximately 80 nucleotides in length. Their secondary structure includes four short double-helical elements and three loops (D, anti-codon, and T loops). The record is from RNAcentral. Lineage: Eukaryota; Metazoa; Mollusca; Gastropoda; Littorinimorpha; Calyptraeidae.